AAGUUUGUGUACCUGAUUUUGCUGCUAGUGUAGCUAAACAGUUACCAAUUCAAGGAACUAGUUUUCAUCUUUAUGGUUUGUGUCGUACUCCUUGUGAUUGUGAUAAUACUGUCAGUUAUGAGUGUGGGAUUGAUGGUAAUACUUAUCUUAAUUCCUGCAUGAGGGUCUGUGCUAAUGUACUGAAACUUCAUGAUGGUCAGUGUUUCAAUUAUGCACUAGCUUAUGCAGCUUGUAAUGGAACCUUCUCUAGUCAAUAAAACUUAUCAAUUAUUGUUUAACUAUCUCGCUGCAAUUCUGAUUAUUAUUUAACGAUCAUCAUAAAAAUAUUAAAAACAACAGAGUGGCCAUUUUUUUGCAGGUAAAUGUUCAUAAAUAUUCCUUAAAACU
Long non-coding RNA from Amphimedon queenslandica, 387 nucleotides. RefSeq lists it as uncharacterized. The transcript is spliced from 2 exons. NCBI's taxonomy places the organism in Eukaryota, Metazoa, Porifera, Demospongiae, Haplosclerida, Niphatidae. The record is from RefSeq and is a predicted model, not a curated record.